GUGCAGCAGUCGCGAAACCUCCGCAAUACGCGAAAGCGUGAAGGGGUCAUCCCGAGUGCCGUCCGCUGAGGAUGGCUUUUCCCCAGUGUAGACAGCUGGGGGAAUAAGGAGAGGGCAAGUCGGGUGUCAGCCGCCGCGGUAAUACCAGCUCUCCGAGUGGUGGGGACGCUUAUUGGGCCUAAAGCAUCCGUAGCUAGCUGGGCAAGUCCCCUGUUAAAUCCAGCGAUUUAAUCGUUGGACUGCGGGGGAUACUGUCCGGCUAGGGGGCGGGAGAGGCCGACGGUAUUUCCGGGGUAGGGGUGAAAUCCUAUAAUCCCGGGAGGACCACCAGUGGCGAAGGCUGUCGGCUAGAACGCGCCCGACGGUGAGGGAUGAAAGCUGGGGGAGCGAACCGGAUUAGAUACCCGGGUAGUCC
This 415-nucleotide ribosomal RNA is filed under the name uncultured crenarchaeote. Its description in RNAcentral is "partial 16S ribosomal RNA". It matches the Rfam family "Archaeal small subunit ribosomal RNA", at positions 330 to 747 of the family's 1478-position model. The record is from RNAcentral. Lineage: Archaea; Thermoproteati; Thermoproteota.